AAACAUAUGAGUUUGAUCCUGGCUCAGAAUGAACGCUUGCGAUAGGCUUAACACAUGCAAGUUGAACAAAAGUACAUUGCUUUUGUAGCGAACGGGUGCGUAAUGUGUAGGAAUUUACCUUUUUAAAAGAGUGAAAUGCUUUGAGAAAACAUGUUGUUGUAAAAAGAUAAGCCUACAUAAGAUUAGAUAGUUGGUGUGGGAAGGGCGCACCAAGUCGAAGAUCUUUAGCUGAUCUUAGCGGAUGAUCAGCCACACUGGGACUGAGACACGGCCCAGGCUCCCAUGGGAGACAGCAGUGAGGAAUCAUGGACAAUGCACGAAAGUGUGAUCCUGCUAUAUCGCGUGAGUGAUGAAGGGUAUAUUGCUUGUAAAACUCUUUCAGCAAGAACAUGCUUGCAUGUAUAUGGAUAGUGACGUGUCUUGCAGAAGAAGCCCCGGCUAAUAUCUGUGCCAGCAGCCGCGGUAAUACAGAAGGGGCAAGUGUUAUUCGGAAUAAUUGGGCGUAAAUGGCGUGUAGGUUGUGUUUCGUAGCUUUUUGUUAAAUCCUUAUUGGUAUGAUAAGUAAAGCGAAAAGAACAGUUACACUGGAGACUGAGAGGGGAAAGGGGAAUUUCUAGUGGAGAAGUUAAAUUCUUAGAUAUUAGAAGGAACACCGAAAGCGAAAGCACCUUUCUGGCUCAGAUCUGACACUGAGGCGCGAAGGCGUGGGGAGCGAAGCCGAUUAGAUACCGGCGUAGUCCACGCAGUCAACGAUGCUGUAUUCCUUUUUGGAAAGCGGAAAAUGUAACGGUUGUAUGUAUGCUUUAAAAGCAUACAUACAACUCAUUU
Micromonas sp. is the source of this 828-nucleotide ribosomal RNA. It matches the Rfam family "Bacterial small subunit ribosomal RNA". The record is from Rfam. NCBI's taxonomy places the organism in Eukaryota, Viridiplantae, Chlorophyta, Mamiellophyceae, Mamiellales, Mamiellaceae.